Molecule: long non-coding RNA, 848 nt
Organism: Trichomycterus rosablanca
Lineage: Eukaryota; Metazoa; Chordata; Actinopteri; Siluriformes; Trichomycteridae
Exons: 4
Source: RefSeq, a predicted model, not a curated record
GUGAAGUUCUGUCCUCAGUUCUGUCCUCAGAUACUGGAGUUGUGGGGUUGUAAUCUAACAGAGAAAAGUUGUGAAGUUCUGUCCUCAGUUCUCAGUUUAAACUCCUCCAGUCUGAAACAUCUGAGCCUGAGUAACAAUGACCUAAAGGAUUCAGGAGUGAAGCUGCUCUCUGCUGGACUGGGGAAUCCACACUGUAAACUGAAGAUACUGAAGUUGAGGACCUGCAGUAUUACAGAUGACGGUUUUACUGCUCUGGCUUCAGCUCUGAAAUCAAAUUCAUCAUCACGUCUGACAGAACUGAAUCUGAACGGCAAUGAUCCAGGAGAAUCAGGAGUAAAACUGCUCAAAGAUCUAUGGGUGGAUCCACAAUGUAACCUAAAGGAACUAUAAGUCAUAGAGCCAUCAUAGAGUCCAUCGUCACCACAUCCAUCACAGUGUGGGGCAGCGCUAUCACAAAACAUGACACCAAGAGACUGCAGCGCAUCAUCAAGUCUGCAGAGAGGACCAUCGGUGUAAAGCUGCCCACACUGCUGGACCUGCAUGCCUCCAGAACCAGGAAGCGUGCAGAGAAAAUCAUCACUGACCCGUUUCACCCUGGUCAUCACCUGUUUCGGUGCCUUCCAUCAGGCCGACGCUUCAGCCACAUGAAGACCCGAACGACCAGGCUACAGAGAAGCUUUUAUCCAAACUCCAUUACGCUCAUGAACAAUUGAACACUACUGUACUGUUAAUACUCGGGACACUUGCACAUCAAAAACUACCUAUUUCAUUUAUGUAAUGGCAUACACAGGAUUUUCACCUUUACUUCCAUUUCAUAUUUAUAUAUUUUUAUAUUUUCUAUAGUUUUU